RNAcentral lists this small nucleolar RNA (84 nucleotides) under Helianthus annuus (common sunflower). RNAcentral describes it as "Plant small nucleolar RNA R71". It matches the Rfam family "Plant small nucleolar RNA R71", at positions 1 to 84 of the family's 107-position model. Rfam says of the family: R71 is a member of the C/D box family of snoRNAs containing the C (UGAUGA) and D (CUGA) box motifs. Multiple nearly identical copies of this snoRNA have been identified in Arabidopsis, and it is thought to function as a 2'-O-ribose methylation guide for 18S ribosomal RNA. The record is from RNAcentral. Lineage: Eukaryota; Viridiplantae; Streptophyta; Magnoliopsida; Asterales; Asteraceae.
AGGCCAUGAUGGGGACACUUGUGUAAUAGCUCCUUGAACCUUUCCCAUGUUUCAUAUAAGGAUUCCCCGUCCUCUUGUGAGUAU